GGCGGACGGGUGAGUAAUACUUAGGAAUCUACCUAGUAGUGGGGGAUAGCACGGGGAAACUCGUAUUAAUACCGCAUACGACCUACGGGAGAAAGGGGGCAGUUUACUGCUCUCGCUAUUAGAUGAGCCUAAGUCGGAUUAGCUAGAUGGUGGGGUAAAGGCCUACCAUGGCGACGAUCUGUAGCUGGUCUGAGAGGAUGAUCAGCCACACCGGGACUGAGACACGGCCCGGACUCCUACGGGAGGCAGCAGUGGGGAAUAUUGGACAAUGGGGGAAACCCUGAUCCAGCCAUGCCGCGUGUGUGAAGAAGGCCUUUUGGUUGUAAAGCACUUUAAGCAGUGAAGAAGACUCUUCGGUUAAUACCCGGAGACGAUGACAUUAGCUGCAGAAUAAGCACCGGCUAACUCUGUGCCAGCAGCCGCGGUAAUACAGAGGGUGCAAGCGUUAAUCGGAAUUACUGGGCGUAAAGGGAGCGUAGGUGGCUCGAUAAGUCAGAUGUGAAAUCCCCGGGCUCAACCUGGGAACUGCAUCUGAUACUGUUGAGCUAGAGUAUGUGAGAGGAAGGUAGAAUUCCAGGUGUAGCGGUGAAAUGCGUAGAGAUCUGGAGGAAUACCGAUGGCGAAGGCAGCCUUCUGGCAUAAUACUGACACUGAGGCUCGAAAGCGUGGGUAGCAAACAGGAUUAGAUACCCUGGUAGUCCAUGCCGUAAACGAUGUCUACUAGUCGUUGGGUCCCUUGAGGACUUAGUGACGCAGCUAACGCAAUAAGUAGACCGCCUGGGGAGUACGGCCGCAAGGUUAAAACUCAAUGAAUUUGACGGGGGCCCGCACAG
RNAcentral lists this ribosomal RNA (833 nucleotides) under uncultured bacterium. RNAcentral describes it as "bacterial SSU rRNA". It matches the Rfam family "Bacterial small subunit ribosomal RNA", at positions 97 to 928 of the family's 1533-position model. The record is from RNAcentral.